This 335-nucleotide long non-coding RNA is filed under the name Elaeis guineensis (African oil palm). Its description in RNAcentral is "long non-coding RNA (EGUI_LNC078300)". The record is from RNAcentral. Lineage: Eukaryota; Viridiplantae; Streptophyta; Magnoliopsida; Arecales; Arecaceae.
CCAAAAUUUGAGAUAGGCAAGUAUCUUCUGACACCUGUACUAAUAUAUUUUCAGUACUUAGUUGAGUAUAUAAUAAUUUCUAAUAAAUAUUUUUUUUAUUAUUUAUUUGUAGGUGCGUUCUUCUGAUGUUUAUAAAUACAGGCAUAUGAUGAAAACAUUCAUCAUUAUAGUAAAAAAAUCUUUAUGCUUCAGCUCAAUUUUUUUUGUUUCAAGUUCUUAAAGCUAAAUUCAUAUCAUCUUGCUUGAUUUAACUUGAUCUGCUAUUUUAUUAUUUCAUGUAGUAUCUUCCAAUUGAAAGUUUAGCUGCUUUCAACAAGAUAACUACUAACUUAUUG